CCUCACUCCUCCCUAAGACUC
This 21-nucleotide transfer RNA is filed under the name Phocoena phocoena (harbor porpoise). Its description in RNAcentral is "partial tRNA-Thr". The record is from RNAcentral. Lineage: Eukaryota; Metazoa; Chordata; Mammalia; Artiodactyla; Phocoenidae.